AGGGAUUGCCCUAGUAACGGCGAGUGAAGCGGCAACAGCUCAAAUUUGAAAUCUGGCGCAAGCCCGAGUUGUAAUUUGUAGAGGAUGCUUCUAGGUAGCGACCGGUCUAAGUUCCUUGGAACAGGACGUCAUAGAGGGUGAGAAUCCCGUAUGUGACCGGCCCGCACCUUCUACGUAGCUCCUUCGACGAGUCGAGUUGUUUGGGAAUGCAGCUCUAAAUGGGAGGUAAAUUUCUUCUAAAGCUAAAUACCGGCCAGAGACCGAUAGCGCACAAGUAGAGUGAUCGAAAGAUGAAAAGCACUUUGGAAAGAGAGUUAAAAAGCACGUGAAAUUGUUGAAAGGGAAGCGCUUACAACCAGACUUCUGGGCGGUGUUCCGCCGGUCUUUUGACCGGUCUACUCGCCGUCCCGAGGCCAACAUCAUCUGGGACCGCUGGAUAAGACCUCAGGAAUGUAGCUUCCCUCGGGAAGUGUUAUAGCCUGUGGUGAUGCAGCGCGUCUCGGGUGAGGUCCGCGCUUCGGCAAGGAUGUUGGCGUAAUGGUUGUCAGCGGCCCGUCUUGAAACACGGACCAAGGAGUCUAACAUCUAUGCGAGUGUUCGGGUGUCAAACCCCUACGCGUAAUGAAAGUGAACGGAGGUGGGAAGCGUAAGCUGCACCAUCGACCGAUCCUGAUGUCCUCGGAUGGAUUUGAGUAAGAGCAUAGCUGUUGGGACCCGAAAGAUGGUGAACUAUGCCUGAAUAGGGUGAAGCCAGAGGAAACUCUGGUGGAGGCUCGCAGCGGUUCUGACGUGCAAAUCGAUCGUCAAAUUUGGGUAUAGGGGCGAAAGACUAAUCGAACCAU
RNAcentral lists this ribosomal RNA (842 nucleotides) under Ramularia glechomatis. Its description in RNAcentral is "eukaryotic LSU rRNA". It matches the Rfam family "Eukaryotic large subunit ribosomal RNA", at positions 70 to 943 of the family's 3401-position model. The record is from RNAcentral. Lineage: Eukaryota; Fungi; Ascomycota; Dothideomycetes; Mycosphaerellales; Mycosphaerellaceae.